CUGCCUCGGUUAACGGGGAGGAAGGUGGGGAUGACGUCAAGUCCUCAUGGCCUUUAUACCCAGGGCUACACACGUGCUACAAUGGGCUGUACAAAGGGUUGCUAUCCCGUGAGGGGGCGCUAAUCCCAAAAAGCAGUCCUAAGUUCGGAUUGAAGUCUGCAACUCGACUUCAUGAAGUUGGAAUCGCUAGUAAUCGUGGAUCAGCACGCCACGGUGAAUACGUUCCCGGGCCUU
This 234-nucleotide ribosomal RNA is filed under the name uncultured Desulfarculaceae bacterium. RNAcentral describes it as "partial 16S ribosomal RNA". It matches the Rfam family "Bacterial small subunit ribosomal RNA", at positions 1149 to 1382 of the family's 1533-position model. Lineage: Bacteria; Pseudomonadati; Thermodesulfobacteriota; Desulfarculia; Desulfarculales; Desulfarculaceae. The record is from RNAcentral.